GACGAACGCUGGCGGCGUGCCUAACACAUGCAAGUCGAGCGGAGAUUGCAGUAAUGUAAUCUUAGCGGCGGACGGGUGAGUAACGCGUGGGCAACCUACCUUUAUCUGGGGGAUAACACAGGGAAACUUGUGCUAAUACCGCAUAAAAUCAUAAGAAUACAUCUUCUAAUGAUCAAAGGAGUAAUCCGGAUAGAGAUGGGCCCGCGUCCGAUUAGCUAGUUGGUGGUGUAACGGACCACCAAGGCGACGAUCGGUAGCCGAACUGAGAGGUUGAUCGGCCACAUUGGGACUGAGACACGGCCCAGACUCCUACGGGAGGCAGCAGUGGGGAAUAUUGCGCAAUGGGGGAAACCCUGACGCAGCAACGCCGCGUGAAGGAUGAAGGUCUUCGGAUCGUAAACUUCUUUGAUGAGGGACGAAUAAAUGACGGUACCUCAAAAACAAGCCACGGCUAACUACGUGCCAGCAGCCGCCGUAA
RNAcentral lists this ribosomal RNA (478 nucleotides) under uncultured bacterium. RNAcentral's name for it is "partial 16S ribosomal RNA". It matches the Rfam family "Bacterial small subunit ribosomal RNA", at positions 28 to 523 of the family's 1533-position model. The record is from RNAcentral.